AGAGUUUGAUCCUGGCUCAGAUUGAACGCUGGCGGCAUGCCUUACACAUGCAAGUCGAACGGUAACGCGGGGGCAACCCUGGCGACGAGUGGCGAACGGGUGAGUAAUACAUCGGAACGUACCCAGUAGUGGGGGAUAGCUCGGCGAAAGCCGGAUUAAUACCGCAUACGCACUGAGGUGGAAAGCGGGGGAUCGCAAGACCUCGCGCUAUUGGAGCGGCCGAUGUCGGAUUAGCUUGUUGGUGGGGUAAAAGCCUACCAAGGCGACGAUCCGUAGCUGGUCUGAGAGGACGACCAGCCACACUGGGACUGAGACACGGCCCAGACUCCUACGGGAGGCAGCAGUGGGGAAUUUUGGACAAUGGGCGAAAGCCUGAUCCAGCAAUGCCGCGUGUGUGAAGAAGGCCUUCGGGUUGUAAAGCACUUUUGUCCGGAAAGAAAUCUGUCUGGCUAAUACCCGGACGGGAUGACGGUACCGGAAGAAUAAGCACCGGCUAACUACGUGCCAGCAGCCGCGGUAAUACGUAGGGUGCGAGCGUUAAUCGGAAUUACUGGGCGUAAAGCGUGCGCAGGCGGUUGUGUAAGACAGGUGUGAAAUCCCCGGGCUUAACCUGGG
Molecule: ribosomal RNA, 615 nt
Filed under: uncultured Burkholderiales bacterium
Lineage: Bacteria; Pseudomonadati; Pseudomonadota; Betaproteobacteria; Burkholderiales
Description: bacterial SSU rRNA
Rfam family: Bacterial small subunit ribosomal RNA
Source: RNAcentral